Episyrphus balteatus (marmalade hoverfly) is the source of this 2298-nucleotide long non-coding RNA. RefSeq lists it as uncharacterized. Lineage: Eukaryota; Metazoa; Arthropoda; Insecta; Diptera; Syrphidae. The transcript has 3 exons. The record is from RefSeq and is a predicted model, not a curated record.
UUCAGUUUUUCGUUUUUGUUUCUUUUUAGUUAUUCGUUAUAUCGAUGGUGUUGCGAAAAGAAAGACCAAUCUGCAAAGUAUUAUUAUUGGCUGCCCUUUUUUGGAUAACACAUCGAUACGGCUUUAACUCAUCCAUCAGUAACGACCAAAAUAAUCCACCACUAAUUCCAGAAUCUCAUUAAAAAUUUCCUCUUCUAUGCCUUCUGAUCAACGACUUAACACACCAAUUUGCCAAACUGACCAACACAACUCAAUUAGCAAUGAACAACAAAUACAAAAAAAAAAAACAAGGGUAAGUCCAGUAUACAACCCUUGCAAUCUAUCAACAGUACCAUGACGGAGGAAUGCAUUAAUUGGCAUCCAUAAAACCAAAAAAAAAAAAAAACACCAGGUCAUGACCUAGACAACGGUGUAAAGUCGAACAAUGAAGAAAAAAAAAAAAGAAAAACAAACCACAACAGCAGUUUCGCCACUUGAAAAGGGUCAUUGAAUGUCCAUGUCCGAACCCGCGGGGUGUGAGAAACAUGGAAGAAAUAAAAGUGAAAGGCACAAAAAAGACUACUGUAGGAAUGAGGAAGAAAAAAAAAUAAUUUUUAAAAAUACCCUCCUGAAUUCAAGGGGUGAUUUUCGAUUUUAUUUUUUUUUUGUGGUAAGAAAAAAGAACGGCGGCAUUUUAAACAGGACACAGAAUAAAAUGAAAAUGAAAAAAAAAAAAAAAAAAAAACAACCACCGAUGACCUAAGGCGGGGACAUCGACACCACUGAAAGUCCACCUUGUCCAAGCAAAAUAGGAUUUUUUUUUUUUCUGUAAAACUUCUUUGUAAUAUACGGAAGAGAAAAAACUACGGAACGUGCCGUUACCAUAGUCGUCAGUGCCAUCGUCAUCAUCGUCGUCAUCAUUUUCUCUGACCUUAUCCUGUUGCUUCCGCCAUCCACACUCCAUAAAGGAUAAUUGAAUGAAAACGGCGAAUAAUUUAUCUGGCAAAGGAGGGCAAUCGCUAUACGCUAUACACACACACAAAUACAAUACACAAAACAGACAGACAGAUAUAGUACAAAAAUUGGCAACAGAGAACGAACGAUGGCAGCCGUCCAUUUCUGCCAAAGCCUCCUUCUGUCUUGGAUACUAUAAAAAAAAAACAACAACCAGAAAAAAAGAGCAAUAAAAUUCCGGAUUUUAUGCGAAUAAAGUCCUAAUUCCCACAAUUUGUUAUUCAACAGAAUAAAAGAGAGAGAGACCAAACCAUACCCCUCACAAAAGGACCUGUUGCAUGGACUCUACGCAGCACGCAGUGAACUUAAAUCGAGUCGAGGUAGAACUUCAAAGGCAAAAUUGCCAGCCAUUUUCAUGAAUAGGAGACAGAAAAAAAAAAAAACAUAAAUUGCGAAGGGCACUUGAAGCCUGGACCUAUGGAGGAUAUAUUCAAGGACACGACAACGAAGAGUGACCUUCCUUUCUCAUUCCUUUUUAUCAAAUUUGCUGCGACACUGCAGCCAGCAACCAGUAAAAAAGGAAACAAGAUUUUGGCAUCGGAACUUGUCAUCGUUUUGUGCGAAAAUUUCAACGCAUCUCCUGCGAGCAACCUCCGCAAGGCAAUUUCCACCCCCAACCAUCAUCAAUCCGGGGGUAAUAUUUUCAUUGGAUUUUAUUUUUCCCUCUGUGCUGUCAUCGAACAAGCACCCGGGGGAUGUAGAUGGAUAUAGAGAUUGUAUACAGAUGGAUGGAGGAGGACUACAAAAUUGACAACGCACCAUAGCACCGCACCCGCAUUGCAAAACGAUGCAGAAAAACAGGCCACAAAAGAAAUUGGCAACCAAACCAGCACUGAAUAAAAAAAAAAAAACAAAAACAAACAAACCAACCAACCAACCAACCAACACACACACUCUCUUCGCCGCCAACAACCCUCUUGAAUAUUUACAAAUGGCAUUAUUGCUGUUUUGGUGGUUUUUCAUAUAUAUUAUUUUUGCAAUAGUAUCAAACACUAGGAUCUUGUUGCUUUUGUAUGAGCAAAAAAAAAUGAACAUGAACUAUCGAUGAGGAUUAUCCUGCCGCCAAACUGACACCCACCCCAAUUUGAUUUCAAAUGUAUUUAUACCAUCACUAUAUCAGCACUAUACAACCACCACCAAUUGGCAAACAAGACAGAGUCAUUGGAAAUGGAAUGGGGUUAUUUGUGCCAAAAAAGCAACAACAGCUUUUUUGCUUUGGACUUGAUGAUGGUUGUCGUCUAAGGUCCUUGCGGACGUUACUGGCAUAAUAUACAUUCGCACCACACCAGAGCAUCAUUACCAUCA